UAUAGUGAUUAUGGUGCGAAGGAUAUACCUGUUCCCAUUUCGAACACAGAAGUCAAGCUUCGUAACGCUGAGAGUAGUUGGGGGAUCGCCCCCUGCGAGGGUAAGACGUUGCUAUAC
Molecule: ribosomal RNA, 117 nt
Filed under: Lactobacillus sp.
Lineage: Bacteria; Bacillati; Bacillota; Bacilli; Lactobacillales; Lactobacillaceae
Also listed under: 3 other names
Source: RNAcentral